CUGAGAAGAUCUAUAAGAUUCAGAAGGAAUUGGAAGAAAAACGAAGGACCAGGCUGCAGAAGCAAAGCAUGAUACCAAAUGCACCGGGCAUGCCCCAGGCUCCCAUGAAUCAAGGGCCCAACAUGGGACAGCCCCAACCAGGGAUGUCUGCAACUCUGGAGGACUGUUUGAGAGACAUGAACCUGAAGGAUCACUGAUGCUAGUGAUAUCUGCCAAUCAAGUUGCAUGCAGCAGGAUUUGAGAGGUCACUGACACCCUCAAUCUGUAAUUAGGAUAUUGCCCCAAUGACUACCCAGAAUACGCUGUGUGGUUAGCACUGAUAAUGACUCUCCUUUGCAAUUAGAAUGGCAGGCCGUAGCCUCAUUUUAGAGUCUUUGGAUUGUCUGAAACAGCAAUCCAUAUAGUUUUAUAACAUACAUAAGACUUUGAACUAAGCUUUUUCUUGCUACUUGACUUUAGGCUGCAACUAACACUUUACUCUAUAUGUGCAAGACGGGAACUGUGCAUUUAUUUACUUACUUUUUACAGUGUGAACAGAAUGAAGGUGAUAUAAAAAAAAUAGAAUGAGAAGUAGAACAAACUCCAGGGAACAUACCUUCUUCAUAAAAGAGAAUCAUUGCCAGAAACAUACUGAGAGACACUUGCUUCUUGGCUGUUCUUGACAGUGAGCUGGGAUGAGGGAUGUUGCUAGGAACAAGGCUAAGAUCACAGUAGUUUCCUGGAGGGGGAAGCCAAGAGGGACAGAAGCCAUUGCACUAUAAAGAAGCUAUGAUAUAAACGCAUACAAAUGUUAAAACCAAUUGCAGAGCACAGUAAGCACUUCAAGAGCCCUGUUGCAUAGGGAAUGCUUUCUUUCCUAAAUAAAAUAUCUAUUUAUGUAUGAAAUCUCUGAAAUUGAUCAUUUGAGGACAUGGGGAGCAGCUUAAUUAACACAUGUAGAUCAUUUACCCUGUGGUGCUUUAACACAACAGCUUUGGCAUUGCUCUGGACUUCCGUUUCCUAAUGCAGAUGUGGGCAGCACCGCAGGGUGAUUAAACAUGCGGAUCUACCAAAGGGAAGAAAACGAUGCAAGCCCAGCUGCCUGCUAAGAAGAGCUAAUAGUGUUUUAUGAAGUGUCAAAGAAGGCAUAACCUGUGCAACUCAAGUGCCAUCCACCCUUGGCUCACUGGGAUCCCCUGACGAUUUCCCAGUCUGAGUGACAUGCUGAUUGUGGCCCUGUGGACAGGGACAAAGGAGUUGCUAAUGUGACAUUCAGUACGUGCUACGGCAAAGGCUCCGCAUGUGCCUACAGAGGAAACAUGCAAGAGCGGGACAGUGGAGGGGCUUGUGGAUGCUGGAACCCCUUUAAUCAGCUGCUGAGCAGGCCCUGGGGAGGCAGCCAGGCUGUGCUCGGCAGUGCACACCGCUCAGGGACAGGCCUCAGGCAUGCUGCGCUGAGGACUGUGCAGCAAGAUGCACUGCGUGGGCCAAGGAACCAGCUGCUCCUCCUAAGGGGGAUAGCAUGUUGCAUUCGUUUUCAGGGCUUGGUUGAGGAUUGUUUAUUUUUACCACAGGAAGGGUCAGUUUAAAUGUAAAUCACAGACACUCUGCCCGAGGGAUGUGGAGUGCUAUAAGCAGUGACCUCAGAAAAUUGUUUCUUCGCUUCUGGUACUUUUAUACAAGUCUAGCAUAGUUGCAGCUUCAAACUCGAGAAAAUAUGUAAAGACUAAAGCACAGACAGACCAAAACUCCCAACUGAAUUUGCACUUGUAACUCUCCCCUUUUCCCCAACUUGUGGAAGGUAUUUUGGGAAGUCGGCUACAUGACGAGAGACAUGAAGACACGGCUGCAAGAACUGCUUGGAUGUAACUGUGUGUCAGAAGGCAAUGUGAAACGCGCCUGGGUCACGUGGAUUUGGGGAAGUGUCUGGUUGAGCGGAUGUGGGGUUGAGGCUAGGUUUUGUAUCAGCAAAAAUGCCGGUACAAACAGGCUGACCGCAUCUGGCUGUCGGGCAUGAUAAGUAACUAAUGUUAGCAACCUAUAAGGAGCUUGGCUGUUGCAAUAUGUAUGAGCUAAUUAACUCUAUUAUAUAAGUCAUGAAAAUGUGCAAAUAAACUGAGGCUUGUGAUCAUCA
Struthio camelus australis is the source of this 2113-nucleotide non-coding RNA. The record is from RefSeq and is a predicted model, not a curated record. Lineage: Eukaryota; Metazoa; Chordata; Aves; Struthioniformes; Struthionidae.